CCUACGGGAGGCAGCAGUGAGGAAUAUUGGUCAAUGGGCGCGAGCCUGAACCAGCCAAGUAGCGUGAAGGAUGACUGCCCUACGGGUUGUAAACUUCUUUUAUAAGGGAAUAAAGUGAGGCACGUGUGCCUUUUUGUAUGUACUUUAUGAAUAAGGAUCGGCUAACUCCGUGCCAGCAGCCGCGGUAAUACGGAGGAUUCGAGCGUUAUCCGGAUUUAUUGUGUUUAAAGGGAGCGUAGAUGGGUUGUUAAGUCAGUUGUGAAAUUUUGCGGCUCAACCGUGAAAUUGCAAUUGAUACUGGCAGGCUUGAGAGUAGUUGAGGUAGGCGGAAUGUGUGGUGUAGCGGUGAAAUGCUUAGAGAUCACGAAGAACUCCGAUUGCGAAGGCAGCUUACUAAGCUGCCACUGACAUUGAUGCUCGAAAGUGUGGGUAUCAAACAGGAUUAGAUACCCCUGUAGUC
This 460-nucleotide ribosomal RNA is filed under the name uncultured bacterium. RNAcentral describes it as "partial 16S ribosomal RNA". It matches the Rfam family "Bacterial small subunit ribosomal RNA", at positions 338 to 795 of the family's 1533-position model. The record is from RNAcentral.